UGAGAAGAACCUUGAACUUUAUGAAUUCAUUCAUUUGAACUUGCAGGACCCACGAGUACUCCUUGAGAAGAACCUUCCUUCUUGCCACCAUCAUCCUGCACCUCAUUUUCAGGCUUCCUUAUCUUGAUCUUGUAUUUAGUUUCAAAUUCAGCAAUUUCCUUUUUCUUCUUUUCCAAGGCCUCAUUAAGCCUUGCAAUUACCUCCUCAAUCCCCUCUUUAUUGCGCUGGACAGCAGGCAGGACCUCUUUGAUAGUUCUCUCAACCAGCACACCUCCAAUCAUUCGGUAGCACCGUCUGGAUGGGUCAAGUGGUUGGAUAGCAUUAAUGACCAAUGAGUGCUCACUCACUUCCAUCUCAAGUUCAGUGAUCUUUGAGUAAAUUUGAUUCAGUUCAGACCGCAUAGCAGUGUAUGCAUUCACAACUGCCUGUUCAUUUAUUGGUUCCUUCCUAUCACCUUCAGCUUUGGAGGCCAUGAUUCUCUGACUAUCAGAGCAAAAAUGGAGUGGAGGUCCUGAGUGAGAAUCGGAGAGGCACAGUGGUAGCGACUCGACACUAGGAAGCUCGCCAAGCAAGAGGGGUUUUUCCGCUGGGGUUGGCCGCAGGUGACUUGGCGCUGGAUCACCAGUGAAAAUUAGGGCUCAUCCCAUCAACUUCGACAAAAUAGAGAGCCGGGUCUUUUCCAGUAUUCC
RNAcentral lists this unclassified non-coding RNA (689 nucleotides) under Hevea brasiliensis (rubber tree). Lineage: Eukaryota; Viridiplantae; Streptophyta; Magnoliopsida; Malpighiales; Euphorbiaceae. The record is from RNAcentral.